Molecule: ribosomal RNA, 1364 nt
Filed under: uncultured bacterium
Lineage: Bacteria
Description: bacterial SSU rRNA
Rfam family: Bacterial small subunit ribosomal RNA
Source: RNAcentral
GAGUUUGAUCAUGGCUCAGGGUGAACGCUAGCGGUGCGCCUAACACAUGCAAGUCGAGCGGGAGUUGCACAGAGGAGACUUCGGUUGAAUCGGUGUAAUGAUAGCGGCGAACGGGUGAGUAACACGUUGGAACCUGCCCCCAAGUCAGGGAUAGCCAAGGGAAACCUUGGAUAAUACCGGAUAGUCUCUUAGGAGUAAAAAUUUAUUGCUUGGGGAGGGGCCUGCGGACUAUCAGCUAGUUGGUAAGGUAAGAGCUUACCAAGGCUAUGACGGAUAACUGGUCUGAGAGGAUGAUCAGUCACAAUGGAACUGAGACACGGUCCAUACUCCUACGGGAGGCAGCAGUGAGGAAUCUUCCACAAUGGACGAAAGUCUGAUGGAGCGACACCGCGUGAAGGAAGAAGGCCUAACGGUUGUAAACUUCUUUUCUGAAGGAGCAUAAUGAGAGUACUUUAGGAAUAAGGGACGGCUAAAUACGUGCCAGCAGCCGCGGUAAUACGUAUGUCUCGAGCGUUACCCGGAAUAACUGGGUGUAAAGGGUUUGUAGGUUGAUGGUUAAGUCAGAUAUGAAAGACCGAAGCUUAACUUCGAGUUAGUAUUUGAAACUGGCUAUCUAGAAUCAGGGAGAGGUAAGCGGAAUUCUAAGUGUAGGGGUGCAAUCCGUAGAUACUUAGAGGAACACCAAAAGCGAAGGCAGCUUACUGGAACUGAAUUGACACUGAAAAACGAAAGCGUGGGGAGCGAAAAGGAUUAGAUACCCUUGUAGUCCACGCCCUAAACGAUGACAACUAAGUGUUGCGACUAGCUCGCAGUGCUGUAGCAAAACGCGUUAAGUUGUCCACCUGAGGAGUACGGUCGCAAGAUUAAAAACUCAAGGGAAUAGACGGGGACCCACACAAGCAGUGGAUCACGUGGUUUAAUUCGAUAAUAAACGGGAACCCUUACCCAGAACUUGACAUCCUAGGAAUGCACCAGAGAUGGAGCAGUGCUCGCGAAGAGAACCUAGAGACAGGUGCUGCAUGGUUGUCGUCAGCUCGUGCCUUGAGGUGUUCGGUUAAAGUCCGUUAAACGAGCGCGAACCCAUGUCCUUAGUUAAACUGUCUAAGGAGACUGCUCUUGGUUAACGAAGGAGAAAGGUGUGGAUGACGUCAAUUCAGCGUGGCUUUUACGUCUGGGGCUACGCGCAUGAUACGAAUGGUGUAGACAAGAAGUAGUGAAUUCCGCGAGGAAAGAACCGAAUCUUGAAAAAUAGUUCUCGGUCCCGGAUUGGAGUUCUGCGACUCGACUCCGUGAAAUUGGAAAUUGCGAGGAACGUGAAUUCGGAUGAUGUGACGAUGAAUGUGGUUCCUGGGUCUUGUAGUCAC